This 799-nucleotide unclassified non-coding RNA is filed under the name Hevea brasiliensis (rubber tree). The record is from RNAcentral. Lineage: Eukaryota; Viridiplantae; Streptophyta; Magnoliopsida; Malpighiales; Euphorbiaceae.
GGCAAGAAUAAGAAGCAGCUUUAUCACAAGAAUUACAAGUAUGGUAAAGGCAACAAAAAGAAGAAAGGGAAAUAUCAAUUUUUUAAAAGAAAAUUCAAAACAAGCAAAUCAUCCAAAUCGGAUUGAUGCUACAUCUAUGAAAAGAAAGGGCAUUUUGUAAAAAAUUGCCCUUAGAAUCCUAAAAAGGCUGCCUAAUUAAUCCAACAGAUAUGUCAAAGCUCCGACAUUGACGUGGAAGAUGCUGAUAUUGAAUCAUUGUUUUAAGAACAACGUGAAGCAAACUAGGACACAGUCUUUGCUUUAGAAGAUUUUUCCUCAACAAAUGAUAGCUCUGAUUCAUUCAGCAUAGACGAAGAAGAUGAACUCCACUUCUUCAGCAUUAAUGCCUUGCAAUUAUGCUCUUCAGCUCAUGAUGAAAAGGUCGCCCUACUUCUCCUUAAUUAUAUCAUAUUCAUACUCUCCUCUUUGAGAACUUUGUAGGCUCUGAUACCAUGAUUGGCCAGGAGCCCCUUAAUCUAACUUUAAUACCACAAUGCUCGUGCGAUGCCAAAGUCACAAUACACCAUCCAUGGCUAAAAAUAGACCUCAAGUGCCUUUUUACAUUAUGAUAUUAAAAUUAAACUAAAAGGACCAUAGCAUAAUGGAUCUUCAAACUUAAUAUUUUCUGAUGCACAGAAUCCUCUAUAAGAUGCAAAUACAGAGCAUACUCAUGUCUUAGUAGAGGAUUACCUGAACAUGAUAUACACCAGGAUUUUCAGGAGAAGAGAAAGGUUUUAGAAAGCCAUAGAGAGAUAUAAAG